GAUGUGGUAUCUCGAACCCAAUUUCAAGGCACUAUAACGGUGUAUAAUUGUACCGUUACAAAGUAUAGAUUAUAAUGUUGUCUACCCUAAACACCUAACGAACAAACACAUUGCACAAUGUGCACAAAAAUCAAUGUUGAUAUCAUCGAAAGAAGGCACUUGUAUUUCGAAUAUCACCGAUGCUGAGAGUUGGGAGAUCCAGAAACUGAUCUUGCAUUCACACUUGUAGUAGUUCUAACAGCACCCUGCUCUGUAGUGCUCCGGCUCUGCAAAAAUCGGAUGGUUAAUGAGAGAUCGCAAGAUGUAAUAUGCAGACUCCAAAACGAAACAUAAGAAUCAAAUGAACAAUGCAGCAAUUUGUGCCCACAAUUUAGAAGGAGCCGAGCUCAAGCUCGGUUCAUCAGCAGCCCUAAUCAUAUACCAUGCAUUUAUAGGAGGCUCUCCUCCGUAGCCAUACUAAUUUCGCAUGCGAAAUAAUUCUAGUUUUGGUGUGCAUUCCUAUUCCGCUAUUCGCCACAACUAGAAGCAAACAAGUGAUUAUUCUUUCAGAGCAUACUUGCAUUUAUAGGAGGCUCUCCUCCGUAGCCAUACUAAUUUCGCAUGCGAAAUAAUUCUAGCUUU
RNAcentral lists this long non-coding RNA (621 nucleotides) under Linum usitatissimum (flax). RNAcentral describes it as "long non-coding RNA (LUSI_LNC006351)". The record is from RNAcentral. Lineage: Eukaryota; Viridiplantae; Streptophyta; Magnoliopsida; Malpighiales; Linaceae.